UACGAAGGGGGCUAGCGUUGCUCGGAAUCACUGGGCGUAAAGCGCACGUAGGCGGAUUGUUAAGUCAGGGGUGAAAUCCUGGAGCUCAACUCCAGAACUGCCUUUGAUACUGGCGAUCUUGAGUCCGGGAGAGGUGAGUGGAACUGCGAGUGUAGAGGUGAAAUUCGUAGAUAUUCGCAAGAACACCAGUGGCGAAGGCGGCUCACUGGCCCGGUACUGACGCUGAGGUGCGAAAGCCAGGGGAGCGAACGGG
RNAcentral lists this ribosomal RNA (253 nucleotides) under uncultured bacterium. Its description in RNAcentral is "partial 16S ribosomal RNA". It matches the Rfam family "Bacterial small subunit ribosomal RNA", at positions 524 to 776 of the family's 1533-position model. The record is from RNAcentral.